GCUUUCCUGGUGGAAUUGGUAGACACGGUAGAUUCAAACUCUGCUCCCAGGUCUCUGGGGUAUCGGUUCGACUCCGAUGGUGAGCA
This 86-nucleotide transfer RNA is filed under the name Prasinoderma coloniale. Its description in RNAcentral is "tRNA-Leu". It matches the Rfam family "tRNA". Rfam says of the family: Transfer RNA (tRNA) molecules are approximately 80 nucleotides in length. The record is from RNAcentral. Lineage: Eukaryota; Viridiplantae; Prasinodermophyta; Prasinodermophyceae; Prasinodermales; Prasinodermaceae.